Molecule: long non-coding RNA, 620 nt
Organism: Leopardus geoffroyi (Geoffroy's cat)
Lineage: Eukaryota; Metazoa; Chordata; Mammalia; Carnivora; Felidae
Exons: 2
Source: RefSeq, a predicted model, not a curated record
AACUGGGUAUAAUUUAAUCAUGUUCUUAUCUAUGACCAGACGGGUCAAAUUCACUCCUUGGGACGGGGGCUGUAUCCCCCUUUGCUGAAGCACCCGGCUACAUGAAAAAGUGGACACAACUAUAAAUCAGGGCUCGUCCAGCAGGAAGCAGGGGUGGGCUUGGAGCAGGCAACCGAUAAUGUCUGUGAUCAUACGAGUUUACGAGUGAUAAUCAGAACAUGAAAAACGGUGUGAAACUUAACAGAUGGUGAAAAUACCCAGUAGUUAGUUUGAAUAAUCCAAAGGUUGGAAGAUAGAAAGGUAGAGGAGAGUUUUCUUUUCACUUAUGAUGACCCAGGACUAAGAGUUCCAUGCUACACAGCAUAAACAUGAUAGUUGUCACCCAAAGAAUCUUCAGGACAGGAGUUCUGAGUUGUGAACCUUGGACACAGAAGAAGUUAGUAAUAAGAAGCCUAUGUAACCGCUCAUGUCGUGCAAUGUACCUUCCUGAUGAACUUGCAGGAUAAAUUCAUUGUAAAAUAUCCUGUAAAAUAUAUCACACUGUUUGUAAAAUGAGGAUGAUACCUUCCUCCUAAGGUCAGUGUGUGAAUUAAGUGAGGUAAUAAAUAACCAAGAGCCUA